RNAcentral lists this ribosomal RNA (368 nucleotides) under Ophiuridae sp. USNM IZ 1448059. RNAcentral describes it as "SSU rRNA". It matches the Rfam family "Eukaryotic small subunit ribosomal RNA", at positions 51 to 414 of the family's 1831-position model. RNAcentral also lists the same sequence under 2 other names. Lineage: Eukaryota; Metazoa; Echinodermata; Ophiuroidea; Amphilepidida; Ophiuridae. The record is from RNAcentral.
AUGCAUGUCUCAGUACAAGUUUUUCUGAAACGAAACUGCGGAUGGCUCAUUAAAUCAGUCAUGGUUCCUUGGAACGAGUUGCCCUACAUGGAUAACUGUGGUAAUUCUAGAGCUAAUACAUGCCACCAAGCGCUGACCUUACGGAAAGCGUGCUUUUAUUAGGAACAAGACCAACCCGGGCUUGCCCGGCUUUGUUGGUGAACUCUGGAUAACUUUGCAGAUCGCACGGUCAUCGUACCGGCGACAAAUCCUUCAAACGUCUGACCUAUCAACUUUCGAUGGUACUUUAUGCGCCUACCAUGGUCGUAACGGGUGACGGAGAAUCAGGGUUCGAUUCCGGAGAGGGAGCCUGAGAAAUGGCUACCACA